GUCCUGCAGCACUAUCACAAUAAAGUAGAUCCGAUUGCCUUUGUGAAUUUGCAACAGAAUGUGGAGCAAAGAAUCCAAAGGCACUUUCAUCGACAAAACUUCACAAAAACAUAGAAACACUGUUCAAGUUCUGAACCUCAAUUAUACAGAAUUGGAUCAGCUGGCUGACUUUUUAGGGUAUGAUGUUAGGGUACAUAGACAAUAUUACCGACUUCCUGAGGGCACUCUCCAGCUGGCUAAGAUGAGCAAGAUUUUGAUGGCAUUAGAGACUGAAAGACUUGGGGAGUUCAGUGGAAAAAACCUGGAUGAAAUUGACAUUGACUCAAAUGAAGCAGUACUUGUUCAGAUUUGUCAAAGGAUUUGUCCGGAACAGAGAGUGAAUCUGAUGGUGUUAAGAAAAAAAGGAGGUUAAGAAAAAAAACAAGGGAGACCAGUGAAGUAAACGAAGUUGAAAAGCUUCUGUCCAGGUUCAUCAAAACUUGCACAGUACCAGGAAAAAGCCAUUGUGAGGCUUGCAUACAAGCUGAACCUGUUGCAUUGAAAGACUGGGAUUGGUUGUCUAAGUUCUUUAUAAACAACUGCUCUCAAAAGGAAGAUGUGUGUCUGGGGCGGGGCGACUAUUCACUCAUGAUGUCAUCAGGGCUAUGGGUUCGUUAAAUGAGCGACCAAUCAUCUUUGCUCUGAGCAAUCCGACUGCUAAAGCUGAGUGUACUGCAGAGGAUGCAUACACUCUCACACAGGGUCGGUGUUUGUUUGCCAGUGGGAGUCCGUUUGCUGCUGUAACUCUGGAUGAUGGCAGGAUGGUGAUUCUGGGACAGGGGAACAAUGCUUACAUAUUCCCAGGUGUGGCUCUGGCAGUAAUUCUGAGUGGUGUUAGACACAUCAGUGAUACGGUGUUCCUCGAGGCUGCUAAGAUCUUAGCAGAGCAGUUGACGGAUGAGGAACUGAAUCAGAAUCAGGGUCGUCUCUACCCUCCUCUUUCCAACAUUAGGGAGGUUUCUUUACAGAUGGCUGUGAGGAUAAGAUUUGUGUUUAUACAUACACACAAUGUGGUGGAGUUUCUGUACAGUAAAGGAAUGGCAUUUCGGUACCCAGAGCCACUGGAUAAAGAGGCGUAUGUGAGAUCCAUUGUGUGGAACACGGAGUACGAUUCCUUCCUCCCAGACAUCGAACGGGCUUGAGUGUCCCAUAGUCCUAUAGUGGAGUAAUCAUACACCCUAUAGCAUACACCUGAAACAGUCACACCCUUCAUUUACAGCUGUGUAAUGUUUAACUAUCACACAUCCCCAUGGGGAGUGAUUCCUAAACUCCUUCUGCUAAUGUAAAUGUACAGUGUUGCUAUUAAUAAAACACUCCACGUGUG
This is an RNA transcript of Trichomycterus rosablanca, 1363 nucleotides long. It is a transcript of the gene named NAD-dependent malic enzyme, mitochondrial-like, with no coding region annotated. The transcript is spliced from 8 exons. The record is from RefSeq and is a predicted model, not a curated record. NCBI's taxonomy places the organism in Eukaryota, Metazoa, Chordata, Actinopteri, Siluriformes, Trichomycteridae.